AAGGAAGCCACAAGAUCCUAAACCAUAGUGACAAUUUUAAUACUAAUAAACUAGGUUUUAACCCGCGGUUUACCGCGGGCAAUCGGUUUAUUUGGUUCUUAUACUAAAUAUAUGA
This 115-nucleotide small RNA is filed under the name Arabidopsis thaliana (thale cress). Its description in RNAcentral is "ATSL174770". Lineage: Eukaryota; Viridiplantae; Streptophyta; Magnoliopsida; Brassicales; Brassicaceae. The record is from RNAcentral.